RNAcentral lists this long non-coding RNA (365 nucleotides) under Sorghum bicolor (sorghum). Its description in RNAcentral is "long non-coding RNA (SBIC_LNC010978)". The record is from RNAcentral. Lineage: Eukaryota; Viridiplantae; Streptophyta; Magnoliopsida; Poales; Poaceae.
AUGGUCUUGUAGGGCUAGGUCUAAACCAGAAUUUAUAGGAAGAUUAACAUAUUCCCUAGGUGUAGCUAAAAGUGCAUUAUCUUUUUGAUUAAAAGAUAGGACCUCAGCUAUAGAAAAGGGUUGGUUUUGACCUAUUGCAAUCAACUCCGGACACAGAUCAUAAUUAGGGGCAGAACGUGUUGACUCCCAUGGUCUAUGGCUGGUCUCCGAAGGUGCAAAGAAUUUAAUAAUAGGUAUGGAAUUUGAGUUAUCCAUAAAGAUAAAAAUAAAAAGAUAAAAGAAUAAAAGUAUAAAAGUAUAAUACAAGAUAAUAGCAAGAUUCAAAGUUAUCUCAGCAAACCGUCUUUCUCCCCGGCAACGGCGCC